ACAACCUUAUGCUGCUGAGGAAAUACUGACUCACUAAGGGUAGGCAGCUUUGCCUGCGGCCAGACAACGAGAUGACAGAAUAUGACUCCAGCUCAAAUAUGUUGAACUCCAAGGACUGUGCUCUCAUUGCCACAAUGUGUCCUUUUUAGAUAUGGUAUUCAAUUAACAGACCCAAGAAUCAAAUAUGUCAACAUUUCAUUUUCCGACCUGCAGUUCUGACAGGGUAUGGUUGUAAACAAGGGUAACUUUGCCAAGAAUCUGCCACACAUAUCAAGACUGCUAACAAAGGUUCCAAGUCCAUCUUCUCAGAUGAUACUUAGAUAGGAAAAUAAAUUCAACGACCCUGACUUUUCAGUCUGUAGAAACUCCUCAUAAUUUGCAGGCCUCCAGUAACUAGCUCCCUGUUAUGGAUCUAAGGCCAGAAAUCAGUGUCUACCAUACCUCACUCAAACGAAAAUACAAAGCUACAAAAAAAGAAGUAAGCCUUACAAGAUUUAAUAUGGAGCCAAAAGAUGGAAAUCUGACAGGACAGUGUUGAGAGGGGAACGCUAUAGCGGGGAAUAUGUCAUGAGGAGUCUGUCUCCACGAAUAUAGAGGCUUUGUCCAGGAACUGCUGGGAAGGUGCAGGACAGAACUGAAAGACAGAUCUGAAAUCCAAGAUGUUUUGGCCUGGCUUUUAGGAGUCCUGAAAUAUUUAUUCUCAGACUCUGCAUCCACUGUGGUAUAUAAGAUAGGAAAGGUGAGCCCAUUCUGUCUCAUAGUCUGAUCUCAUAGCUCUGGAAUGUUGUCUUUCCCAUUUACCUGCAGUCUUAUCAUCUCCCGUUCCUUGGGAAAGACUUACACUGUUCUUUUUCUGUCCAAAUUGCAUGCAUACAAAGUGGGGGAAAGAGAAAAGAUCUUUAUCUCUGGC
Molecule: long non-coding RNA, 910 nt
Organism: Mesocricetus auratus (golden hamster)
Lineage: Eukaryota; Metazoa; Chordata; Mammalia; Rodentia; Cricetidae
Exons: 3
Source: RefSeq, a predicted model, not a curated record